CUGUGCCAAAGCUUGAGCCACUACCUAUUCCCAGACCUGACUUCACUUUACUCCAGAACUUAUUCUUUGUUCCUUUUGCUCUGUCCCAUCUCUUGCUGCCUGAAGUGCCUGCACUGGGGGCCUUAGAACCCGAAGCCUGUGCCUUUGACUGUUUCUGAAUAUUGGCACUAGCUUCCAUUUUCCUGGCUGCGUCCACUAU
Molecule: long non-coding RNA, 199 nt
Filed under: Manihot esculenta (cassava)
Lineage: Eukaryota; Viridiplantae; Streptophyta; Magnoliopsida; Malpighiales; Euphorbiaceae
Description: long non-coding RNA (MESC_LNC009687)
Source: RNAcentral